Molecule: ribosomal RNA, 434 nt
Filed under: uncultured bacterium
Lineage: Bacteria
Description: bacterial SSU rRNA
Rfam family: Bacterial small subunit ribosomal RNA
Source: RNAcentral
AACGAACGCUGGCGGCAGGCCUAAUACAUGCAAGUCGAGCGCUCUAGCAAUAGAGAGCGGCGCACGGGUGCGUAACGCGUGGGAAUGUACCUCUAGGUGCGGAACAACGUCGGGAAACUGACGCUAAUACCGCAUAAUAUCUCCGGAUCAAAGAUUUAUCGCCUAGGGAUCAGCCCGCGUUGGAUUAGCUAGUUGGUGAGGUAAUGGCUCACCAAGGCGACGAUCCAUAGCUGGUCUGAGAGGAUGAUCAGCCACACUGGGACUGAGACACGGCCCAGACUCCUACGGGAGGCAGCAGUAAGGAAUAUUGGACAAUGGAGGAAACUCUGAUCCAGCCAUGCCGCGUGAGUGAAGAAGGCCUUCGGUUGUAAGACUCUUUAGAUGUGACGAUGAUGACGGUAGACAUCAGAAAAAGACUACCGGCUAACUUCGUG